GCCGCAGCGAAAGCGAGUCUGAAUAGGGCGUUUAGUACGUGGUCGUAGACCCGAAACCAGGUGAUCUACCCAUGUCCAGGGUGAAGUUCAGGUAACACUGAAUGGAGGCCCGAACCCACGCACGUUGAAAAGUGCGGGGAUGAGGUGUGGGUAGCGGAGAAAUUCCAAUCGAACCUGGAGAUAGCUGGUUCUCCCCGAAAUAGCUUUAGGGCUAGCCUUAAGUGUAAGAGUCUUGGAGGUAGAGCACUGAUUGAACUAGGGGUCCUCAUCGGAUUACCGAAUUCAGUCAAACUCCGAAUGCCAAUGACUUAUCCUUAGGAGUCAGACUGCGAGUGAUAAGAUCCGUAGUCAAGAGGGAAACAGCCCAGAUCGCCAGCUAAGGUCCCAAAGUGUGUAUUAAGUGGAAAAGGAUGUGGAGUUGCUUAGACAACUAGGAUGUUGGCUUAGAAGCAGCCACCAUUUAAAGAGUGCGUAAUAGCUCACUAGUCGAGUGACUCUGCGCCGAAAAUGUACCGGGGCUAAAUACACCACCGAAGCUGCGAAUUGAUACCAAUGGUAUCAGUGGUAGGGGAGCGUUCUAAGUGCAGUGAAGUCAGACCGGAAGGACUGGUGGAGCGCUUAGAAGUGAGAAUGCCGGUAUGAGUAGCGAAAGACGGGUGAGAAUCCCGUCCACCGAAUGCCUAAGGUUUCCUGAGGAAGGCUCGUCCGCUCAGGGUUAGUCAGGACCUAAGCCGAGGCCGACAGGCGUAGGCGAUGGACAACAGGUUGAUAUUCCUGUACCACCUCUUUAUCGUUUGAGCAAUGGAGGGACGCAGAAGGAUAGAAGAAGCGUGCGAUUGGUUGUGCACGUCCAAGCAGUUAGGCUGAUAAGUAGGCAAAUCCGCUUAUCGUGAAGGCUGAGCUGUGAUGGGGAAGCUCCUUAUGGAGCGAAGUCUUUGAUUCCCCGCUGCCAAGAAAAGCUUCUAGCGAGAUAAAAGGUGCCUGUACCGCAAACCGACACAGGUAGGCGAGGAGAGAAUCCUAAGGUGUGCGAGAGAACUCUGGUUAAGGAACUCGGCAAAAUGACCCCGUAACUUCGGGAGAAGGGGUGCUUUCUUAACGGAAAGCCGCAGUGAAUAGGCCCAAGCGACUGUUUAGCAAAAACACAGCUCUCUGCGAAGCCGUAAGGCGAAGUAUAGGGGGUGACACCUGCCCGGUGCUGGAAGGUUAAGGAGAGGGGUUAGCGUAAGCGAAGCUCUGAACUGAAGCCCCAGUAAACGGCGGCCGUAACUAUAACGGUCCUAAGGUAGCGAAAUUCCUUGUCGGGUAAGUUCCGACCCGCACGAAAGGUGUAACGAUUUGGGCACUGUCUCAACCAGAGACUCGGUGAAAUUAUAGUACCUGUGAAGAUGCAGGUUACCCGCGACAGGACGGAAAGACCCCGUGGAGCUUUACUGUAGCCUGAUAUUGAAUUUUGGUACAGUUUGUACAGGAUAGGCGGGAGCCAUUGAAACCGGAGCGCUAGCUUCGGUGGAGGCGCUGGUGGGAUACCGCCCUGACUGUAUUGAAAUUCUAACCUACGGGUCUUAUCGACCCGGGAGACAGUGUCAGGUGGGCAGUUUGACUGGGGCGGUCGCCUCCUAAAGUGUAACGGAGGCGCCCAAAGGUUCCCUCAGAAUGGUUGGAAAUCAUUCGUAGAGUGCAAAGGCAUAAGGGAGCUUGACUGCGAGACCUACAAGUCGAGCAGGGACGAAAGUCGGGCUUAGUGAUCCGGUGGUUCCGCAUGGAAGGGCCAUCGCUCAACGGAUAAAAGCUACCCCGGGGAUAACAGGCUUAUCUCCCCCAAGAGUCCACAUCGACGGGGAGGUUUGGCACCUCGAUGUCGGCUCAUCGCAUCCUGGGGCUGUAGUCGGUCCCAAGGGUUGGGCUGUUCGCCCAUUAAAGCGGUACGCGAGCUGGGUUCAGAACGUCGUGAGACAGUUCGGUCCCUAUCCGUCGUGGGCGUAGGAAAUUUGAGAGGAGCUGUCCUUAGUACGAGAGGACCGGGAUGGACGCACCGCUGGUGUACCAGUUGUUCUGCCAAGGGCAUAGCUGGGUAGCUAUGUGCGGAAGGGAUAAGUGCUGAAAGCAUCUAAGCAUGAAGCCCCCCUCAAGAUGAGAUUUCCCAUAGCGUAAGCUAGUAAGAUCCCUGAAAGAUGAUCAGGUUGAUAGGUUCGAGGUGGAAGCAUGGUGACAUGUGGAGCUGACGAAUACUAAUAGAUCG
This 2242-nucleotide ribosomal RNA is filed under the name Bacillus cereus. Its description in RNAcentral is "partial 23S ribosomal RNA". It matches the Rfam family "Bacterial large subunit ribosomal RNA", at positions 665 to 2911 of the family's 2925-position model. Lineage: Bacteria; Bacillati; Bacillota; Bacilli; Caryophanales; Bacillaceae. RNAcentral also lists the same sequence under 1 other name. The record is from RNAcentral.